AUGGCCCUCAAGGAAGAUACUGAGACCACAGGCAGUUCCUCCAGUGACCGUGAAAAGAUCCCCUGGGGCACAAGUCUAAUUUGGCACCCCCAUCUUUCUCCUGCAGCUUUUCUGUCUACUUAGCUAACCAGCAGCAAGUUUAUCCUUGCAAGCGUUUGGGGUCAAGAACAACUUUCACCAGCAAAAAGUGCAAGACGAGUGAUUGAAGAAAACAAAGUUGCUUCUGCGAUCUAAGAA
Molecule: long non-coding RNA, 237 nt
Filed under: Dermacentor andersoni
Lineage: Eukaryota; Metazoa; Arthropoda; Arachnida; Ixodida; Ixodidae
Description: uncharacterized LOC126529649
Source: RNAcentral